ACGCUCGACACCUACGGGGGGCAGCAGUCGGGAAUAUUGCGCAAUGGAGGAAACUCUGACGCAGUGACGCCGCGUAUAGGAAGAAGGUUUUCGGAUUGUAAACUAUUGUCGUUAGGGAAGAAAAAGGACAGUACCUAAGGAGGAAGCUCCGGCUAACUACGUGGCAGCAGCCGCGGUAAUCUGAGCGGGCUGGCAAGGC
This 199-nucleotide ribosomal RNA is filed under the name uncultured bacterium. RNAcentral describes it as "partial 16S ribosomal RNA". It matches the Rfam family "Bacterial small subunit ribosomal RNA", at positions 328 to 539 of the family's 1533-position model. The record is from RNAcentral.